RNAcentral lists this ribosomal RNA (464 nucleotides) under Erwinia sp. PsM31. Its description in RNAcentral is "partial 23S ribosomal RNA". It matches the Rfam family "Bacterial large subunit ribosomal RNA", at positions 1157 to 1622 of the family's 2925-position model. Lineage: Bacteria; Pseudomonadati; Pseudomonadota; Gammaproteobacteria; Enterobacterales; Erwiniaceae. The record is from RNAcentral.
GCCUGCGCGGAAGAUGUAACGGGGCUAAACCAUGCACCGAAGCUGCGGCAGCGACACUAUGUGUUGUUGGGUAGGGGAGCGUUCUGUAAGCCGUCGAAGGUGGCCUGUGAGGGCUGCUGGAGGUAUCAGAAGUGCGAAUGCUGACAUAAGUAACGAUAAAGCGGGUGAAAAGCCCGCUCGCCGGAAGACCAAGGGUUCCUGUCCAACGUUAAUCGGGGCAGGGUGAGUCGACCCCUAAGGCGAGGCCGAAAGGCGUAGUCGAUGGGAAACAGGUUAAUAUUCCUGUACUCGGUGUUACUGCGAAGGGGGGACGGAGAAGGCUAUGUUGGCCGGGCGACGGUUGUCCCGGUUUAAGCGUGUAGGCUUGUGUUCCAGGCAAAUCCGGAACACUUUAAGGCUGAGGCGUGAUGACGAGGCACUACGGUGCUGAAGCAACAGAUGCCCUGCUUCCAGGAAAAGCCUCU